Manihot esculenta (cassava) is the source of this 363-nucleotide long non-coding RNA. RefSeq lists it as uncharacterized. The transcript is spliced from 3 exons. The record is from RefSeq and is a predicted model, not a curated record. NCBI's taxonomy places the organism in Eukaryota, Viridiplantae, Streptophyta, Magnoliopsida, Malpighiales, Euphorbiaceae.
AAAGCCUCUGGCUAUUGUUGUGGGAGCUAACGGCGAUCGGAGCUGUUGGAGAUGAAGUGCGGCUCUUACUGUAAUAUAAUCUGGAUCAUGUUUCAGGUCUGUCAGCAGAAAAGGCUUUCAGAUAAACUCUUAAAAUUCUGUUGUUCUCAACAUCCAAGAAUAGUUGUGCACCUGAUAUUUGCAUGGGAAUCAUGAUAACAUCGAGGAAACUACAUUCAAUUGAGUUGUCUCUUCAAAUAUAUCAGAUCAUCGAUACCUUUGAUGGUGUGCGUAAAAGAUACAGCAACAGCUGCAAAUGAUACAUUAGACAUGACAUGUCCAAGGGCAUGACAGAUUGCAACUGGAGUCAAUAGUAGCAGGAGG